This 433-nucleotide ribosomal RNA is filed under the name uncultured bacterium. RNAcentral describes it as "partial 16S ribosomal RNA". It matches the Rfam family "Bacterial small subunit ribosomal RNA", at positions 29 to 507 of the family's 1533-position model. The record is from RNAcentral.
AACGAACGCUGGCGGCAUGCCUAACACAUGCCAGUCGAACGAGACCUUCGGGUCUAGUGGCGCACGGGUGCGUAACGCGUGGGAACCUGCCCUUAGGUUCGGAAUAACUCCCCGAAAGGGGUGCUAAUACCGGAUAAUGUCUUCGGACCAAAGAUUUAUCGCCUUUGGAUGGGCCCGCGUUGGAUUAGCUAGUUGGUAGGGUAAAAGCCUACCAAGGCGACGAUCCAUAGCUGGUCUGAGAGGAUGAUCAGCCACACUGAGACUGAGACACGGCCCAGACUCCUACGGGAGGCAGCAGUGGGGAAUAUUGGACAAUGGGCGAAAGCCUGAUCCAGCAAUGCCGCGUGAGUGAUGAAGGCCUUAGGGUUGUAAAGCUCUUUUACCCGGGAUGAUAAUGACAGUACCGGGAGAAUAAGCUCCGGCUAACUCCGUG